UGCACCCUUGCUUCUAAGUCUCUUUGGAUAAAAGUGUCUGCUAAAUGGCAUAAU
Salmo salar (Atlantic salmon) is the source of this 54-nucleotide non-coding RNA. Lineage: Eukaryota; Metazoa; Chordata; Actinopteri; Salmoniformes; Salmonidae. The record is from Rfam.